UGCUUUUCAUCCAUCACAAGAAAAGGUGGAGAUUCUAAGUAAAAAAUUACACACAAAUAAUAACCAAUAUCAGCAGCUGUUGUUACAUGAGAGAUGUAUCUCCUAUCUUGACCAUAUCUUUUUCUUACUAUCCCUCUCUUUAACUCCUUGAGACUGAUCUCUGCUUGUGCUAGCUCUCUUAUGAGACAAAGGAACUUGACUAGUAAUGACCGGCGGUUUCGUUGUUAGCCUACCAGUUCUUACAAUUUUAGGCGGAUCAGAUUUCCUUGUCAUUUUUCUAUCGCGUAAAGUGGAUGACGGUGGCCCGACUAAAUUGUUCUCAAUGUCAUUGCUUCUUAACUGCCUUUUGUUUCUCAUCUGCUGAGUAGAAUCAGUCCCUUUUAACAAAGCAGAACCUUGACUUAUCUGGCGGUUUACCGAGUUUGAACUACAUAAAAUGCGACUCUCAAUAUCAUUUGGACAUUCUUCACUUGUGCGGCUUUUACCUAUAUCAGGUGUGGCCGCCGCCUUUACUGCUUCAACAUAACAAUGAGUUUGCUGCCACUGUUGCUCUCGCUCCUUGUAUUUCUCCUCUAGUUCCUUCAUCUGCCAUGACAUUACCUGUUGUUUUAGCAAGGAUUCCGAGUUCUGCUCCUGCUCUUUCAGUUUUCUCUCAAGCUCCUUGA
Molecule: long non-coding RNA, 665 nt
Filed under: Medicago truncatula (barrel medic)
Lineage: Eukaryota; Viridiplantae; Streptophyta; Magnoliopsida; Fabales; Fabaceae
Description: lncRNA gene30007
Source: RNAcentral